This 535-nucleotide ribosomal RNA is filed under the name uncultured Pseudomonadota bacterium. Its description in RNAcentral is "bacterial SSU rRNA". It matches the Rfam family "Bacterial small subunit ribosomal RNA", at positions 8 to 522 of the family's 1533-position model. The record is from RNAcentral. Lineage: Bacteria; Pseudomonadati; Pseudomonadota.
AGAGUUUGAUCAUGGCUCAGAACGAACGCUGGCGGCGUGCCUAACACAUGCAAGUCGAACGUGAUCCAGAGCUUGCUCUGGUGAAAGUGGCGCACGGGUGAGUAACGCGUAGAUAAUCUGCCUGAUGAUCGGGGAUAACACUUCGAAAGGGGUGCUAAUACCGGAUAAGCUCACGGAGUCCUUGGACUCUGCGGGAAAAGGGGGGGACCUUCGGGCCUUCUGUCAUCAGAUGAGUCUGCGUACCAUUAGCUAGUUGGUAGGGUAAAGGCCUACCAAGGCGACGAUGGUUAGCUGGUCUGAGAGGAUGAUCAGCCACACUGGAACUGAGACACGGUCCAGACUCCUACGGGAGGCAGCAGUGGGGAAUUUUGCGCAAUGGGGGAAACCCUGACGCAGCAACGCCGCGUGAGUGAUGAAGGCUCUUGGGUCGUAAAGCUCUGACAGAGGGAAAGAAGUGUAGGGAGGCUAAUAUCCUCUUUACUUGACGGUACCCUCAAAGGAAGCACCGGCUAACUCCGUGCCAGCAGCCGCGGUA